UCUUUAAUGGAGAGUUUGAUCCUGGCUCAGGACGAACGCUGGCGGCGUGCCUAAUACAUGCAAGUCGAGCGGGAUUAUUUAGAAGCUUGCUUCUACAUAAUCUAGCGGCGGACGGGUGAGUAACACGUAGGCAACCUGCCCACAAGAC
RNAcentral lists this ribosomal RNA (148 nucleotides) under Paenibacillus polymyxa. RNAcentral's name for it is "partial 16S ribosomal RNA". It matches the Rfam family "Bacterial small subunit ribosomal RNA", at positions 1 to 138 of the family's 1533-position model. Lineage: Bacteria; Bacillati; Bacillota; Bacilli; Caryophanales; Paenibacillaceae. The record is from RNAcentral.